RNAcentral lists this non-coding RNA (28 nucleotides) under Rattus norvegicus (Norway rat). The record is from RNAcentral. Lineage: Eukaryota; Metazoa; Chordata; Mammalia; Rodentia; Muridae.
UGAGUGAUCCUAUAAACACCUUACUUGA